Molecule: long non-coding RNA, 13420 nt
Organism: Hypanus sabinus (Atlantic stingray)
Lineage: Eukaryota; Metazoa; Chordata; Chondrichthyes; Myliobatiformes; Dasyatidae
Exons: 4
Source: RefSeq, a predicted model, not a curated record
GGUAAAGUCGGGCAGUGCGGUAGUUAUAGGGGACUUGAUAGUUAACAGGAUAGAAAGUAGAUUCUGUGGCCACAAAAGAGAUUCUGUUGCCUCCUGGGUGCUAGGAUGUAACAGAGUGGCUGCAGGAUAUUUUUAAUGGGAAGGAUGAACAGCCAGGGAUCGUGGCACAUAUUGGCACCAAUGACAUGGGCAAAAAGGGGGAAGAGGUCCUACUCAUUGAAUAUAUAAAGUUAAGAAUGAGGCCAAAGAGAAGGACCUCCAAGGUAGUAAUCUUCAGAUUACUCCCAGUACCACGGGCUAGUGCAAGUAGGACUGGGGUGAAAGCAGAGAUGAAUAAGUGGCUGAGGAGAUGGUGCAGGGACAGGAUUUCAAGUUCUUGGAACCUUUUCUGGGAAAGCAAUGACCUGUACAAGAGGGACAAGUUGCACCUGAAAUGGAGGGGAGUCAAUAUCCUAGCCGGGAGGGUUGCAAGUUCUAUUCAUGAGAGUUGAAACUAGUUUUACAGAAAACUGAGAACUGGAACAUCAGGUUGGUAAGGGAAGGAUCGAACCAGAGGUAGACAUCAGGGAUAGUAUUGAAAGGCAAAAUCAAAACAACAGAUAUGAUUGGUUGGAUAGUUUGGAGUAUUAUAUUUUAAUGCUUGGAGUAUUAUAGUAGGGAAGGGUGAUGACCCUAGAGCAUGGAUCAGUGCGAGGAACUAUGAUGUUGUGGCCAUUACUGAAAUUUGGUUGAGAGAGGGGCAGGAAUGGGUGAUUAAUGUACCAGGUUUGUAAAGUUUUAGAAAAAUAGAGCAGGAGGUAAAAAAGGGGGUGGAGAUGCGCUAUUAAUCAGGGACAAUGUCAUAGCUGCAUUCAGAGGAGACAUAAUGGAGGGGUCAGAUACUGAGUCCAUUCGGGUUGAACUCAGGAACAGGAAAGUGCAAUCACACUGAUAGGAUUGUCCAACGGAUCCCCUGAUAGCCUCUGGGACAUUGAGGAACAGGUAUGUAAUCAGAUUAAGGAUAUGUGUAAACAAAUAAUGGGGCUGUUUUCAUGGAGAUUUCAACUUCCCUAAUAUAAGCUGGGACCUUAUUAAUGCAAGGGGUCUAGAUGGGGCAAAAUUUGUUAAGUGUAUCCAGGAAGGUUCUUAAAUCAGUAUGUGGGUAACCAACGAGAGGACCUAGCAUUGGGUAAUGAGUGUGCCCAGGUUACUGACCUUUCAGUUAGGGAACAGUGACCACAACUCCUUAACUUUAGAUAAAAAUAGGUAUGGUCCUUAUGGGAGAGUUUUAAAUUGGAAUUGGGCAAAUUAUGAGGGCAUUAGGCAGGAACUAAGAAGAGUUAAUUGGGACCACCUUUUCUUGGCAAGACCACAGAGAGCUGAUGAAUUUAGUCCAGAAGAAAAAGGGAAAGUAUGUAAAGAUUCAGAAAUUAGAAUCAAAUGGAGCAGAUGACGAGUAUUCAGAAGCCAGAAUAGAACUAAGGAAGAGAAUUAGGAAAGCCAGUAGAGGCCAUGAAAAGAUCAAGGCAAAUCCCAAGGCAUUCUGUACAUACAUCAAGAGCAAGAGGAUAACAUAAAGCCAAAGAGAGAGCAUGUAAUCGAGCAAAAAUUAGUGGGAAGUUAGAGGAUUAGGAAGCCUUUAUAAACCAACAGAAGGUAACUAAAAAAAUCAUUAAGAAGGAAAAGAUAGAACACAAAAGUAAACUAGCCAAUAAUACUAAAGAGGAUACCAAAAGUUUCUUCAGAUACAUGAAGUGUAAAACAGAGGCAAGGGUGGAUAUCAGUCCAUUAGAAAACAAUGCUGGAGAGGUAGUGAUGGGGGACAAGGAAAUGGCAGGUGAACGGAAUAAAUAUUUUGAAUUAGUCUUCAUUGUGGAAGCCAGUAGCAGUAUGGUGGAAGCUCCAGAGUAUCAGAAGUCAUGAAAUGUAUGAAAUUACCGUUACAGAGAGAAGGCUCUUGGGGAAAAUGAAAGGCCUGAAGGUAGAUGAGGUCACCUGGACCAGAUGGUAUGCACGCCAUGGUUCUGAAAGAGAUGGCUGAAGAGAUUGUGGAGGCAUUAGUAACAAUCUUUCAAGAAUUAUUUGAUUCUGGAAUGGUUCUGGAAGACUGGAAAAUUGCAAAUGUCAUUCCACUUUUUAAGAAGGGAGGGGGACAGAAGAAAGGUAACUACAGGCCUGUUAACCUGACCUCGGUGGUUGGGAAGAUGUUGGAGUUGAUUGUUCAGGAUGUGAACACAUGAUAAAAUAGGCCAGUCAGCAUUGUUUCCUCAAGGGAAAAUCUUGCCUAACAAACCUGUUGGAGUUCUUUGAAGAAAUAACAAGCAGGUUAGACAGAGGAGAAUCGAUUGCUGUUGUGUCCUAGGAUUUUCAGAAGCCCUUUGACAAGGUGCCACACAUGAGGCUGCUUAACAAAUUAAGAACCCAUGGUAUUACAGGAGAGAUUCCAGCAUGGAAUCCAGCAGUGUAUUUUGUGAAUAAAGCAGUGGUUGUUUGGCAGGAUACAAAGAGUGGGAAUAAAGGGAACCUUUUCUGGUUGGCUGCCAGUGACUAGCGGUGUUCCACAGGAGUCUGUGUUGGGACCACUUCUUUUUAUGUUGUAUGUCAAUGAUUUAGAUGAUGGAAUUUGUAGCUUUGUUUCAAAGUACAUUUAUUUUCAAAGAAUGUGUAAAUUAUACAACAUCGAGAUUUGAUUGCUUACAGGUAGCCACAAAGCAAGAAACCUGAAAGAAUUUGUUACAAGAAUCACCCCUUGUAGGCACAAGAGAGAAUCUGUAUUUACCGCCAAGUACCUUUAUUGUCUCAACGGAAGAACAUGUGAACUUAGACAACCAAUACCUGUGUGCAAACCAGCUAAGUUUUCCUGACCUUCCAUGAACAGUCAAAGAACAGAAAAUAUAAUACCGGUUAAAAAGGAGUUUCUACUGCUGGCCACAUGUUCCUCAUCGUCCUUUUACAAAUCUCCAGGUGUCAGCAGGGCACCUCGCAUCCCCGAUAGCUGUUCUCCUACAGAGUUAAAGUCACUAGCACUGCUUUUAUAUUCCUUUCUUACCAAUUCAGAUAUUGCAUUCCAGUGUCAUUGGCUGUAGGUCAUGUGUCUGGCCUUUAACACAGCUAGUGGCUCUGCUGCAAGCCAGCAUCCAUCUAUUGCCUUCUUCGCAGCAAGUGACAAUCGGUAAUUUAUUUCUCUUGUCACAAGGGGGCGUUGGGAAUGGACCCAAAUGCAAAUCACAGACACUGUAGUUGUCUGAACAAGACUAUGUCUAUUAACAAUACUAGGGAAGCCAAGGAGCGAGGAAAAAAUAUCAACCUGGACAUGAGUGUAAAAUAACAAACUGGAAAACCUGGACUAGGACUUGAGACUUGAACUUGACUGAGAACUCGGGUCUUGGCCGGGACUAGGUACCUGCAUCUUGACUUGGCUCUUGACCUGGAACUCGGACUCAAGCUCAGACUCAGACUUGACUAGACUUGACUCUUCUUGGACACAGGACACAGAGCCAGGACUCUUUUUGGACACAGGACACAGAGCCAGGACUCUUCUUGGACACAGGACACAGAGCCAGGACUCUUCUUGGACACAGGACACAGAGCCGGGACUCUUCUUGGUAUGAGUUUCUGAUGCUGAGCUUCCAGAUGUGGGUUUCAGACGCCAAGCUUCCUGGUGCGGGUUUCUUGACAGGGAUGGUCCAGAAAAGGAAUAGAUGGACCCCUGAGCUAUUUAUGUUGCAAGCUCGAAAUGAGGAUCAGUUGCCUCAAUUAAAGGACCCAAUGGAACAAGGAAAAACAGAAACAACCAGAAUACAGAAUCCACAGACCGGACCGUGACAGUACCGCCACCCCCCGCCCCCCCUCCAUGGGAGCCUCCUGAUGAUCCAACCAGCUUUCCCAGAUUAUCGAUGAUCCAGGUGAGUUGGAGGGGGGUGGUUUCAACAAGGGGGACCCCCGGCUGACCAGAGUUUAAUGGCAGUGUCUGUGUUGCUGGGUCCAUGUUUGGCUGGACCGUUCUGUCACAAGGGGGCGUUAGGAACGAAACCAAAUGCAAGAUGCAGACACUGCAGUAGUCUGAACAAGACUAUGUUUAUUAAGAAUACUAGGGAAGCCAAGGAGCGAGGACAAAAUAUCAACCUGGACGCGAACAUAAAGUAACAAACCAGAAAACCUGGACUGGGACUUGACUGAGAACUCAGGUCUUGGCUGGGACGCUCUUUGACUAGAACUCGUGCUUGGCUUGACCAGGAACUCAGGCUCGUCAUGAGGCAUAUGAAGACCCUGCUGCCCCCCUCACUGGACCCCCUGCAGUUUGUGUACCGUCCCAACCGCUCAACAGAUGAUGCCAUUGCCACCACCCUCCACCUGGCCCUAACCCACCUGGACAAAAAAGACAUAUGCAUUCAAAUGCUGUUCAUAGACUUCAGUUCAGCAUUCAACACAAUCAUCCCUCAUGAUUGGAAAGCUGAGCCUACUGGGCCUGAACACCUCCCUCUGCAACUGGAUCCUGGACUUCCUGACUGGGAGACCUCAGUCAGUCAGGAUUUGGAGCAGCAUCUCCAGCACCAUCAGUUUGAGCAUGGGGGCCCCACAGGGCUGUGCGCUCAGUCUACUGCUGUUCACUCUGCUGGCCCACGACUGUGCUGCAACACACAGCUCGAACCACAUCAUCAAGUUCGCCGAUGACAUGACUGUGGUGAGUCUUAUCAGCAAGAACGAUCAGUCAGCUUCCAGAGAGGAGGUGCAGCGGCUAACGGACUGGUGCAGAGCCAACAACCUGUCGCUUAAUGUGAACAAAACAAAAGAGAUCGUUGUUGACUACAGGAGUGCAUGGAGCGACCACUCCCCACUGAACAUCGACGGCUCCUCGGUAGAGAUCGUUAAGAGCACCAAAUUUCUUGGUGUUCACCUGGCGGAGAAUCUCACCUGGUCCCUCAACACCAGCUCCAUAGCAAAGAAAGCCCAACAGCGUCUCUACUUUCUGCGAAGGCUGAGGAAAGUCCAUCUCCCAAACCCCAUCCUCAUCACAUUCUACAGGGGUUGUAUUGAGAGCAUCCUGAGCAGCUGCAUCACUGCCUGGUUUGGAAAUUGCACCAUCUCGGAUCGCAAGACCCUGCAGUAGAUAGUGAGGUCAGCUGAGAAGAUCAUCGGGGUCCCUCUUCCUGCCAUCAUGGACAUCUAUACUACACUCUGCAUCCGCAAAGGAAACAGCAUUAUGAAGGACCCCGUGCACCCCUCAUACAAUCUCUUCUCCCUCCUGCCGUCUGGGAUAAGGCUCCAAAGUAUUUGGGCUCUCACGACCAGACUAUGUAACAGUUUCUUCCCCUAAGCUAUCAGACUCCUCAAUACCCAGAGCCUGGACUGACACCUUGCCCUAUUGUCCUGUUUAUUAUUUAUUGUAAUGCCUGCACUGUUUUUGUGCACUUUAUGCAGUCCAGUGUAGGUCUGUAGUCUAGUGUAGCUUUCUCUGUGUUGUUGUUUUUUUUAACGUAGUUCAGUCUAGUUUUUGUACUGUGUCAUGUAACACCAUGAUCCUAAAAAACGUCUCAUUUUUACUAUGCACAGUGCCAGCAGUUAUGGUCGAAAUGACAAUAAAAGUGACUUGACUUGACUUGACUUGAGAUUCAGACUUGACUAGACUUGGACUUUUCUUGGACACAGAGCCGGGACUCAACCGUGGACACAGGACACAGAGCUGAGACUCUUCUUGGACACAAGACACAGAGCCGGGACUCUCCUUGGACACAGCACACAGAGCCGGGACUCUCCUUGGACACAGGACACAGAGCUGGGACCUUUCCUGGACACAGGACACAGAGUCAGGACUCUCCUUGGACACAGGACACAGAGCUGGGACCUUUCCUGGACACAGGACACAGAGUCAGGACUCUCCUUGGACACAGGGCUUGACCCUUCUUGGAUGCCGGACACAGAGCCGGGACCUUUUUUGGCCACUGGACACAGAGCUGGGACCCUUCUUGGUAUGAGUUUCUGACGCCGAGCUUCCUGAUGUGGGUUUCGGAUGCUGAGUUUCCUGGUGCAGGUUUCUGACAGGGAUGGUCCAGCAAAGGAAUAGCUGGACCCCUGAGCUAUUUAUGUUGCAAGCCUGAAAUGAGGAUCAGCUGCCUCAAUUAAGGCACCCAAUGGAACAAGGGAAAACAGAAUCAACCAGAAUACGGAAUCCACGGACCAGACCGUGAACCGGAAUGCGGACCUUACGGACCGUGACAGCUGCUUGUUCUCAAUCAGUAACAUGUGUGAAUCAGGCAGAACAGAUACAGACUCCAACAGUCAAAAAUCUGCAUGUUCCAUCCAACCAAAGGACAUCUCACAAAUAACUUCUUAUCUGGAAAUGACCUCUAGUCCAGCAGAUUACCUGAGGCAUCAUUAUAUUGACUUUAAAACACUGAUCAAGCCAAGAGACUCUCACAAAAUGGAGAAUCUCUUCAUAAAAUGGUAACCUCCAUCUCCUCCCUCCUGGCAAGAACAAAGGUAAUUGGUCUGUCUGCUUCCACUGCCCUUAAUUCAUUUGAACUCACUGCUUUGCUGACUGUAGUUCUUUCUGGCCAACAAACCCAAUCAAAAGAUAAUAAUAAAGACCAAUACCCAAUGCGCAAGAGAAAGAGGGAAAGAACACAAACCAUGCAAACAAAAGCGAGCAUCAACAUUCUGAAUUGGGUUGAGUCCUCAGAUCCAAACCCCACAGUAGGCCCAAAGCCUCAGUAUAUUAUCAGGCACAGAGCACAGCAGCCUGGGCAAUCUUCAUAGCCUCAGCACCAUGAUGAGAGGAGUGAACAUCGCAGAGAGUGAGUGAAAUUGGCUCUCAACUCUGAUCCCAAGAUGCCUGGCCAGUGUGCAAACUGUCCAGACAGCUUAAUGUACCUCGCAUUAGGACCUGGAAACCACUGCUGCGAAGGGCUCCGGGCCAAGACCAUGCCGCCCAACAGCUUGCUCCGGGCUCAGAUUUUGCCACUCUCAAACUCUUAAAAUCGGCUCGGCAGCCAGACUAUCCAACCUCGCACCCAGGCCAGUUGUACAGGCAUCAGAACUCCUCCGCCCAACUUCUCCUUUCUGAAUGGCGGCUCACUCCGUUUGUGUCAAUUCUGCAACACACCAGCACAGCUCAUCCCCGAACUUGUUUCGCUUUCACUUGCCACUUCAUUGCUAGUGGUGAUAAUUUACAACAAUUUACUACAGAAAAGGUGUUGUUAGUAAUGUUUUUAGUCAAAUUUCUUGCCUUUUGAACUACCAGUGGAAUGUCGCAUACGCUCAGUAGUGCCAUCUUAACCGGAAAGUUUGCAAACAAUAUGAAGAGAGGUGAAGGGGCAAAUAGUUUUGAGGAAGUAGAGAAGCUGCAGAAGGACUGAGACAGAUUAGGAGAAUGGGCAAGGAAGUGGCAGAUGGAAUACAGUGUUAAGAAGUGUAUGGUUGUGCACUUUGGUAGAAGAAGUAAAAGGGUAGACUAUUUUCUAAAUGGAGGAAAUACUUGGAACUCCUUGUACAGGAUUCCCUAAAGGAAAAUUUGCAGGUUGAGUCUGUGGUGAGAAAGGCAAAUGUGAUGUUAGCAUUCAUUUUAAGAGGAUUAGAAUAUAAAAGCAAGGAGGUAAUGAUGAAGCUUUAUAAAGCACUGGUGAGGCCUCACUUAGAGUAUUGUCAGCAGUUUGGGCCCCAUAUCUUAGAAAGGAUGUGCUGAAACUGGAGAGGGUUCAAAGGAGGUUCACAAAAUGAUUCCAGGAUUGAACGGCGUAUCAUAUGAAGAGCAUUUGAUGGCUCUGGGCCUGUAUUCACUGGAAUUCAGAAGAAUGAGGGGUGACCUAAGAAGGCAGAACGGAGUGGUGAUGACACUAAAUGGCGACUCCUUUGCUUGCAUGUUCAUAAACAGUUCCAUUUCCAUCUUUAAUAUCUUCAUUUUUCCCUUUCAGGGUUCUUUUGAAGACCCUGUCCUGGAGUUACACGCUGACUACAGUUCUUUGCGGGAAUGGGAUCCGCUGUCAGGGUUUCAUAAGCAGCCGUUGUUGUUCGGCACACUGAGGGCUCGGCCUAAGAGUCUGGCUCAAAUUUGGAAGCCUAGGAUCUUGGGGCUCUGGAGAUGGGCGGAUUGAGGGUCGGUGUCAUGACAGGACACCCAUGUGUCGUUGGGGGUUUCGGAAUAUCUGCGGUUGAGUGCCUAGUUUUUAGGGUACAGAGCUAAAAAAAAAAGCGACGUGGUGGACGUAAACCAUCGUAAACCAGCGAGUUGUUAUGUCUCCCUGCUCGCUGGGAAAAUGGAGACAUCUCUUUCUCCUUUAUUAAGGAGAGAGAGAACCUGUGGUAUGUUGAGUACGAGGUGAAACGCAAAGCCUUUGGGAUAACUGCAAGUCAGUGCCUUUGCUGUUGCCUUGUUCACGCUUGAGUGCUCAGUGGUGGGUGCCAUGCUUUUUCUUGCCGGUGGGGGUUGUUUGCUGCUGCUUACACAUGGGAGAGGGGAGUUGGGGGUUACUUUGGGGUUCUAACAUUUGACUGUCAUUCAUUCUUUAGGACACUCCUCUGUUUUCAUGAUGGUUUGCGAAGAAAAAGCAUUUCAGGAUGUAUAUUGUAUACAUUCCUCUGACAUUAAAUGUACCUUUGAAACCAUUGAAACUCAUCGAAACCUAUCUACCUACUGAUAGAAUUGGUGUGGAGAGGAUGUUUCCUACAGUGGGACAGUCUAGGACCAGAGGACACAGCCUCAGAAUAGAGGGGUGUCCUGUUAGAUUAGAGAUGAGAAAUUACUUCAGCCAGAGAAUGGUCAAUCUGUGGAAAUCAUUGCUACGGGCAGCUGUGGAGGCCAAGACUUUAUGUAUAUUUAAGGCAAAUGUUGAUAGAUUCUAGACUGGUCAGGGCAGGAAGGGAAAUGGGGAGAAGGCAGGAGAUUGGGGCUGAGAGGAAGAAUGGAUCUGCUAUGAUGGAGCGGUAGAGCAGACUCGAUGAGUCAAAUGGCCUAAUUCUGCUUCUAUAUCUUAUGAUCUCAUAACUAGGGAGAGGGCAGGACCACUCAGGAUAAAGAGGGGAACAUUUGUUUGGAUCCUGAGAAUGUGAGCAAAGUAAUCAGUGAGUACUUUGCUUCAGUACUUACCAAGGAAAAGGGUAUGGAGAACCAGAGCUGAGUGCAUAAAUACAUUAGGGCAUUUAGAGCUCAAGGAGGAGGAAGUGUUGGGCCUCCUAAUGAGUAUAAAGUUGGAUAAGUCCCAAGGACCCAAUAGGAUUUACCCCAAUUUAUUGAAGGAGGCAGGAGACGAGAUUGCUGGCGCCUCAUGUCCUCUGUAGUGCGGGUAAGGUCCUGCAGGACUGACGAGUGGCUAAGACUGUACCUCUAUGUAAGAAGGGAAAAUCCUGUGAACUAUAGACCAGUGAGUCUCACGUCAGUUGCAGGACAUUUGCUUAAGAAUAUUCUUAGAGAUAGAAUAUAUGAGCAUUUGGAAACCCAUGGCCUAAUUAUGGAGAGUCAGCAUGCCUUUGUGAGGGGCAGGUCAUAUCUUACUAACUUCAUUGAGUUUUUUCUUAAGGUGACAAGAGAGAUUGAUGAAGGCAGGGCAAUGGACGUUGUCUACAUUACUUAGUUAGGCAUUUGACAAAGUGCCUCAUGGGUGACUAAUCCAGAAGAUGAAGAUGCAGUGAAUUAGCUCUUUAGAUUCAGAACUGGUUUGCAUGUAGAAGAUGGGAGAAGUUGAGGGGACUUAUUUGAGCUGGAGGUCUGUGAUUAGUGGAGUUCUACAUGGAUUCGACUAAUGUAGAUGGAUGCGUUAGUAAGUAAGCAGAUAAUACCAAGAUUGGUGGAGUUGUGGAUGGUGUAGAAUCCGGGCAUAGAAUAGAGCAUGACAGAUUUGUUGCAGAUAUGGGCAAAGAAAUGGCAGAUAGAGUUUAACCCAGAUAAAUGUGAGGUGACCCACCUUGGUAGGGCAAAUGGAAGGAGACAGUACACAGUUAUGGUCAAGAUUCUUAACAGAGUUACUGAUCAGAGAGAUCCGUAGAUCCAAGUUCAAUGCUCCUUAAGGUCGAUAAGGUGGUUAAGAAGGCUGAUGGAAUUAUUUUAUUAGUCGAGGCAUUUUAUUAGUGCUUAGGCCACAUCGGGAGUAUUGCAGACAGUUCUGGUUACAGCACUAUAGGAAGGACAUUGAGGUUUUGGAGGGGGUACAGAAGAGGUUUACCAGGAGGCUGUCUGGUUUAAAGGGCAUGUGCUAUUAUGAGAGGCUGGAUAAAUUUGUGUCAUUUUCUCUGGAGCUCAGGCUUAAUUAAGGGAGAUCUCAUAGAAGUCUAUAAGAUUAUGAGAGGCAAAGAUAGUGUAGACCGGGACUAUCUAUUUCCCAGGGCUGAAAUGUCUAAUACCAGAUGGCAUUGAAUGUGAGAGGGCAUAGGUUCAAAGAAGAUGUGAGGGGUAAGUUUUUUACUCACAGAGUGGUGGAUGUCUGGAAUGUGCUGCCUGGUGUGGUGGAAGAGACGAAUAUAUUACAGGCUUUUAAAAGACAUUUGGAUGCGCAUAUGAACGUAAGGAAGAUGGAGGGACAUGAACAUUGUGUAGGUAAGAGGAAUUAGUGUUUGGGUAUUUCUGAAUUGCUUUUUAGUUGGUUCAGCACAAUGCUGUGGGCCGAAUGGCCUGCUCCUAUGCUGUGCAGUUCUAUAUAAAACUUACUUCCCCGUAUUCUUCGAUCCAGCAAUUCCUCCUGCCUCACCGAACUAGAAAUGUAUUGCUCCAGAAAAUUAUCCUGUACACUCUGUGCUUAGUGAUAUUAAUCUUCUAGUUUAUAACACAGGCUUUUAUUUCUCCAAAGCAACCACUACAUAGUUUUCACAAAUAUCUGUAAUCUCUUUGAAUGCUGUUCCUUCUGUCCUACUCAUCCAUCCAUAGAAAUACAUGGCAUAAGUAGGCCUUUUGGCCCAUUGAGCUUGUGCUAUCCAUCAAUCAAUCAUAUCAACUAAUUCUACUCUUGUUUUUUAUUCUCAGCACUCCAUCAUCAAUUCCCUCAGAUUUCUACCAUUCAGCUACACGUUAGGGUUAAUAUAACUUAACAGCCUGCACACCUUGGGAUGUAGGAGGAAGCCGGUGGGCGGUGGGGGAACCAGAGACCUUGGUGCCUCACCUACUCUUGGGGUUCUUGCAGGUAGAGUGAUAAAAGACCAGUAGCCCAUUCCUAGAAUGAGAGGCUUGUUGAGAAGGAAGGGGGAAAGUUGGGCCUCCGGAGCUUAGAAAUACAGAUCGAAAGGUCUUUGGAAAGAUAAUGCUGGGAAGAGUUCAAUCAAUGGUGGAGUCUCUACCACAAAACCAAAAUGAAGAGUUUCUUCCCUCCUUCCUCUAAAGUUGUGAAUCUUGAGUUUUCUCUAUGCCAGUGAGCUUCAAAGACAGAGUCAUUCAGAACUCAGCUGUUUUCUUAGAUUACAGGGCAUUAAGAUAUAGCAAGUAAAUCAAGGAGAGUCUGAGAUUGUCAGUUGACAUCUUACUGUUCAAUCUCACAGGUCUGCCUCUCCAUCUCCUCUUGUUUUCUGAUCAAUAUUACCUCAAAAUAUCCUGCAGCCGCUGCACUCGAGGAGCUGAAAUAUGAUCUCACCACUUCUCAUGAGGAAGUGGCUUGAAUCUACUGAACAAGUAGUUCAUUGCCAUGGUAAAGCAGAACUGGAAGUUCACCGUGUGUUUCUAAAUACAAGUAUAGAACUAUAAGGAGAAAUAUACAAUUUCCAUCAGACCAGAUUGACUUGCUUCUGUACCUUCUGUACUUACACAAUUAAAGGCUUGAUAUGCUGUAACAGGUAGCUAGCCUCCUGACUCACCAAAAUAUCUCUGCACAGCCCAAGUCAGGAGUUUGAUGGAAUUCUUGCCUCUUUAAUCCCAACAAUAUUCAGCCUAUUUGUAGAUUGCUGGGAUUGUGCGUUAACAAGGAGUGAAGCUAAAGAUCAGCAGAUUCAGAUUCUGAGGGAUAUGGGUGGGUGGCUAAAUUGUUGAGAUGGAAAUCAUGAAAGUAUUGAAUGCUGAGGUAAACAUGGACCCAAUAUUUCCUCCUUCAGUUAUAGUCUUAUAAAAGGAACUAAAAAUGGAUCUAAUUGUUGGAUAUUCCUGGGAAGAAAGUGGGGAAAAAAGGAACGAUGGUGGAAUUUGUGAAUGAGAAGUGAUAGGUAUUAUGACUUAAUGGUUUCAUUCAGUUCCACAAUAUUGGGGCAGCACAGUAGCAUAGCAGUCAUCAUAAUACUUUACAGUGCCAGCUGUAAGUUCAAGAUUUGCUAUCUGUAAGGAGUUUCGUGCAUUCUCUCCACCGCACCACGGGUUUCCUUCAGUUUCCAUUUCAAGUUAAGAUUAGUAAAUUAUGAGCAUGCUAUGUUGGCACUGGAGAUAUGGCAACACUUGCAGCCUGCCUCCAGCCCAGUCUGAACACAAACAAUGCAUUUCACUGUAUUUCCAUUAAAGUGUGACGUUCACACCAUCAGGCUGGAGGUUAUCCAAACAGAUUGGGGUGUCGCUGCUGCGUCAUAGGAGGAGACCCUGGCCUGAUACAUUGGAAUGGGAAGUCAAAUUGAACAAACUCAAUGAGUGAGCCUCCACAACUCCAAACUCAAGAAUUCCAAAAGUUCACCACACAGUAGUUUUUUUUUUCCUAACUUUCUAAAUCCCCACAGUAGGAUCACCAGUGCAAGUGAAAUUUUUAUAGUUGGAUUUCUCCAUUAUUGCAGUUAUACAUUAUAAAGAUCAAUGUUGCCCUGAUAAAAUCUGUAGCCUAUCUAAUACAAAUCCCUCCACAAUCCAGAACUUUUGUAUGAACAGCGGGAUAUCAUAUCCUGUGAUGCAUGUGACAGCAUUGCGCAACAUCUCAGACAGGCUCAGAAGAGUGGUUCAGAAGUGAAGACACUGCUGGAGAAAGGUUGCAACUCCUUGUCUGGAACCCAACGUUCUCUGUGUGAAAACUUCGUUCAAUCUUACAAAAAAGAGCUUAGCAAAUUGCUUCAAAAGUCCCAGGAGGAAAAGGACAUUUGUUGGGAACUGGACCUCUGUGUAAGGAAACAGACUGUACGAAUGUUUGUACGGGUUGUAUGUACUUUGGGACCAGCGUACUGGUGUAAGAGCCUCCAAACAGCCAACAAGUGUACUGCUGUUGAUUACUGUAAGAAACACCGCUGGAAUCAGGCCUAAUUUCAUAUCACUGGUGGAAGGCAACAGAAAUUGAAUACUUAAAAAAAUGCAAAGGCUCUUCCUUUAGUACCAGUUAAAUGAUGAUUCUGCUUGUGUGUUUGCAUGUUUCCUUUAAGCAAUUUUGUGUUGCUGUAGCUUGUGCAUUCAAUGCAAUCUCUUUUAUUGUGAGAUGUUACAGAGACGAGAUUAUUGGUAAUCCUUUACUUCCAUCGAAUCAACAUUGCCAGAUGCUAUAUACGCAGAGUUUCAAUGACAAAUAUUGAUUGGGGUUUUGAUUUCAUCAACUGUAAAAAUUCAGCAGACUAAAGUGCUUUAAGAUCA